AAUUAAAGAAAUUGACGGAAGAAUACCACAAGGAAUGGAUUGUGCGGCUUAAUUUGACUCAACUCGGGGUAAUUUACCAGGUAUAACAUGAUAUAAUAUGUUAUCAUGAUAGUGGUGCAUGGCCGUUUUCAAUGGAUGCUGUGAAGUAAUGAUUAAUUUCAACAAGAUGUGAGACCCUCAUUUAGACAGAUGUAGUGAUACAUAUGAAGGAGAGGAUUAAAACAGGUCCGUUAUGCCCUAAGAUAAUCUGGGUUGCACGCGCAAUACAAUAAUAUUUGAUAUUAUAAGGGAUAAUAUAAUGUAAGAUAUAUUUGAACAUGGAAUUGCUAGUAAAUUUUAUUUAAUAAGUAGAAUUGAAUGAGUCCCUGUUCUUUGUACACACCGCCCGUCGCUAUCUAAGAUGGUAUUAUCUAUGAACAAAUUUAUAAAGUGAAUAGAUGGUACUAGAUCUGAUAUAAGUCGUAACAUGGUUGCUGUUGGAGAACCAUUAGCAGGAUCAUAA
This 502-nucleotide non-coding RNA is filed under the name Nosema bombycis CQ1. RNAcentral describes it as "Microsporidia small subunit ribosomal RNA". It matches the Rfam family "Microsporidia small subunit ribosomal RNA", at positions 776 to 1311 of the family's 1311-position model. Lineage: Eukaryota; Fungi; Microsporidia; Nosematidae. The record is from Rfam by way of RNAcentral.